This is a small nucleolar RNA of Bison bison bison, 116 nucleotides long. Lineage: Eukaryota; Metazoa; Chordata; Mammalia; Artiodactyla; Bovidae. The record is from Ensembl.
GAAUUGAGGUCAGCCUAGCCCUGGGCUUUUGGGGUAUUCCAGGGCAGGCUGUAUCCCUAAACCAUUGCAUGGCUUUUCUGUCUGUAGGUCCAGGUACAGAGUUGAGUUGUGCAGUG